AGCGAACGCUGGCGGCAGGCCUAACACAUGCAAGUCGAACGACCUCACCGGAGUUAGCGGCGGACGGGUGAGUACCACGUGGGAACGAGUCCUUCGGUUCGGAAUCUCUCAGGGAAACUUGUGCUACUACAGCCUGUGUCCUUCGGCGGACAGGCUUCUCGUCAUUGGAGCGGGCCGUGUCUAAUCAGCCAGUUGGUUAGGUAACGGCCCACCAAGGCGACGAUCAGUAGCUGGUCUGAGAGGAUGCCCAGCCACACUGAGACUGAGACGCAGCGCGGACUCCUGCAGGAGGCGGCAGUGGGGGAUCUUGCACAAUGGGCGGAAGGCUGACGCAGUCAUGCCUGGUGAGUGAUGAAGGUCGGAGAGUUGUAAAAGUCUUUAACCGGGGACGAUAAUGACGGUACCCGAAGAAUAAGCCCCGGCUAACUUCGUG
RNAcentral lists this ribosomal RNA (433 nucleotides) under uncultured bacterium. RNAcentral describes it as "partial 16S ribosomal RNA". It matches the Rfam family "Bacterial small subunit ribosomal RNA", at positions 29 to 507 of the family's 1533-position model. The record is from RNAcentral.